GAUGAACGCUGGCGGCGUGCCUAAUACAUGCAAGUCGAGCGAACAGACGAGGAGCUUGCUCCUCUGACGUUAGCGGCGGACGGGUGAGUAACACGUGGAUAACCUACCUAUAAGACUGGGAUAACUUCGGGAAACCGGAGCUAAUACCGGAUAAUAUAUUGAACCGCAUGGUUCAAUAGUGAAAGACGGUUUUGCUGUCACUUAUAGAUGGAUCCGCGCCGCAUUAGCUAGUUGGUAUGGUAACGGCUUACCAAGGCAACGAUGCGUAGCCGACCUGAGAGGGUGAUCGGCCACACUGGAAAGGAGACACGGUCCAGACUCCUACGGGAGGCAGCAGUAGGGAAUCUUCCGCAAUGGGCGAAAGCCUGACGGAGCAACGCCGCGUGAGUGAUGAAGGUCUUCGGAUCGUAAAACUCUGUUAUUAGGGAAGAACAAAUGUGUAAGUAACUAUGCACGUCUUGACGGUACCUAAUCAGAAAGCCACGGCUAACUACGUG
This 497-nucleotide ribosomal RNA is filed under the name uncultured bacterium. RNAcentral describes it as "partial 16S ribosomal RNA". It matches the Rfam family "Bacterial small subunit ribosomal RNA", at positions 28 to 507 of the family's 1533-position model. The record is from RNAcentral.